RNAcentral lists this ribosomal RNA (350 nucleotides) under uncultured bacterium. Its description in RNAcentral is "bacterial SSU rRNA". It matches the Rfam family "Bacterial small subunit ribosomal RNA", at positions 30 to 376 of the family's 1533-position model. The record is from RNAcentral.
AUUGAACGCUGGCGGCAGGCCUAACACAUGCAAGUCGAACGGUAACAGGAAGAAGCUUGCUUCUUUGCUGACGAGUGGCGGACGGGUGAGUAAUGUCUGGGAAACUGCCUGAUGGAGGGGGAUAACUACUGGAAACGGUAGCUAAUACCGCAUAACGUCGCAAAAACCAAAGAGGGGACCUUCGGGCCUCUUGCCAUCGGAUGUGCCCAGAUGGGAUUAGCUAGUAGGUGGGGUAACGCUCACCUAAGGCGACGAUCCCUAGCUGGUCUGAGAGGAUGACCAGCCACACUGGAACUGAGACACGGUCCAGACUCCUACGGGAGCAGCAGUGGGAAUAUUGCACAAUGGGC